UGGGGAAUAUUGGACAAUGGGCGAAAGCCUGAUCCAGCCAUGCCGCGUGAGUGAAGAAGGCCUUAGGGUUGUAAAGCUCUUUCAGCGGGGAAGAUAAUGACGGUACCCGCAGAAGAAGCCCCGGCUAACUUCGUGCCAGCAGCCGCGGUAAUACGAAGGGGGCUAGCGUUGUUCGGAAUUACUGGGCGUAAAGCGCGCGUAGGCGGGUCGCUAAGUCAGGGGUGAAAUGCCGAGGCUCAACCUCGGAACUGCCUUUGAUACUGGCGACCUGGAGAUCGGGAGAGGUGAGUGGAAUUCCGAGUGUAGAGGUGAAAUUCGUAGAUAUUCGGAGGAACACCAGAAGCGAAGGCGGCUCACUGGCCCGAUACUGACGCUGAGGCGCGAAAGCGUGGGGAGCAAACA
Molecule: ribosomal RNA, 402 nt
Filed under: uncultured prokaryote
Description: bacterial SSU rRNA
Rfam family: Bacterial small subunit ribosomal RNA
Source: RNAcentral